This 53-nucleotide ribosomal RNA is filed under the name Kosakonia radicincitans. RNAcentral describes it as "23S rRNA. Bacterial LSU". Lineage: Bacteria; Pseudomonadati; Pseudomonadota; Gammaproteobacteria; Enterobacterales; Enterobacteriaceae. The record is from RNAcentral.
CGCAGCGAUGCGUUGAGCUAACCGGUACUAAUGAACCGUGAGGCUUAACCUUA